UACGUAGGGUGCAAGCGUUGUCCGGAAUUAUUGGGCGUAAAGGGCUCGUAGGCGGCUUGGUAAGUCGGGGGUGAAAGUCAGCGGCUCAACCGCUGGACUGCCUUCGAGACUGCCUGGCUUGAGCAUGGUAGAGGCUGGCGGAAUUCCCGGUGUAGCGGUGGAAUGCGUAGAGAUCGGGAAGAACAUCGGUGGCGAAGGCGGCCAGCUGGGCCAUUGCUGACGCUGAGGCGCGACAGCGUGGGGAGCAAACAGG
Molecule: ribosomal RNA, 253 nt
Filed under: uncultured bacterium
Lineage: Bacteria
Description: partial 16S ribosomal RNA
Rfam family: Bacterial small subunit ribosomal RNA
Source: RNAcentral